Long non-coding RNA from Pomacea canaliculata, 918 nucleotides. RefSeq lists it as uncharacterized. Lineage: Eukaryota; Metazoa; Mollusca; Gastropoda; Architaenioglossa; Ampullariidae. The record is from RefSeq and is a predicted model, not a curated record. The transcript is spliced from 2 exons.
AAGAGAGCAUCUACAUCCUCAGACUCAUCUUCAUCUCAUCAAAGGUCAUAAAAAGAAAAGAAAAAGAAGCAGUAAGAAGAAACACAAAAAAGAAAAGAAGAAGAAGAGAAAAGAGGAAAAGAUAAGACAAGUAAAAAGAUGGUGACAGCACAGGUUAAUUCUCUGGCAGAAACAUCUGUUAAACCAAAAUCGUUCAGCAGCGUCAUGCUCGACUCCCUUGGCCCUGCGCCUCGAGUACUGAAGCCUAUGACUAAGGAAGAGUGGGAGUAAACGCAAAGUGUCAUGCAGAUAUGUUAUGACGAAGAGGACAGGUAGAAAGAGGGGGUUCCAUGAAAACAGUGUGAAAAAUAAAAGCAACUGUCUAUAUGCUCAUGUUUUAAUAGUAAUGAUGAAGAUUUCCUAUAAAGCACCAUUUCCUAAUGGUUUACAGCACUUUACACAAAAUAUCACACACUAUGAUCAGAAGAACAGCAUAACAAGAUUCUUCAUUAUCUAAACAACGUACUCUCAGUCAAAAGCACAAUAGAAUAAGUGGGUCUUCGGCUGCUGCUUAAAUGCUGAAGAUUUAUAUGCACAGUCUCAGCUGACAGGGAAGGGAUUCCAAAUAGAUGGUGCAACAGAGACUCAGAACAUAUGCCCACCAAAAUAUGUUUCAAUUUAUCAUCUCAGUUCCCUCUAAAGAAGCACCAUUACCAUGACACAUUUUUCUUGGUCCCUGUUAAAUUGUGAAUGUGCAUGUUUGAGGAUACACAUGCAUGUGUAUUUUGACCACUUGCAAACUCCUUGAACCAAGCAUUUUUUCUCCAGAACAUGCAUAUUUUUGUACAAGGUGCAAACUCUCUAUGAUGAUGUAAUUGAGUGAACAUGGGAAUCAGAGAUAUUAAAAAUUUUUUAUAGUGAUGAACAUUGUAGUGUUAA